RNAcentral lists this non-coding RNA (24 nucleotides) under Arabidopsis thaliana (thale cress). The record is from RNAcentral. Lineage: Eukaryota; Viridiplantae; Streptophyta; Magnoliopsida; Brassicales; Brassicaceae.
CUGACUGGAACGAUGUAGAAGGCA